RNAcentral lists this ribosomal RNA (486 nucleotides) under uncultured bacterium. RNAcentral's name for it is "partial 16S ribosomal RNA". It matches the Rfam family "Bacterial small subunit ribosomal RNA", at positions 30 to 507 of the family's 1533-position model. The record is from RNAcentral.
AUUGAACGCUGGCGGCAGGCUUAACACAUGCAAGUCGAGCGGAAACGAUGUAGCUUGCUACAGGCGUCGAGCGGCGGACGGGUGAGUAACGCGUAGGAAUCUGCCUAGUAGUGGGGGACAACAUGUGGAAACGCAUGCUAAUACCGCAUACGCCCUACGGGGGAAAGGAGGGGAUCUUCGGACCUUUCGCUCUUAGAUGAGCCUGCGUAAGAUUAGCUAGUUGGUAAGGUAAAGGCCUACCAAGGCGACGAUCUUUAACUGGUCUGAGAGGAUGGCCAGUCACACUGGGACUGAGACACGGCCCAGACUCCUACGGGAGGCAGCAGUGGGGAAUAUUGGACAAUGGGCGCAAGCCUGAUCCAGCCAUGCCGCGUGUGUGAAGAAGGCCUUAGGGUUGUAAAGCACUUUCAGGGGUGAGGAAGGGUGUUUGGUUAAUAUCCAAACAUUUUGACGUUAGCCCCAGAAGAAGCACCGGCUAACUCUGUG